GUGCUUACUUUGUAGCACACAUACUUACUAAAAUUGGAAUGAUACAGAGGUUAACAUUGGCUCCUACAUAAGCAUAGCAUGCAAAUUUGUGAAUCAUUCUAUGUUUAG
This 108-nucleotide small nuclear RNA is filed under the name Chinchilla lanigera (long-tailed chinchilla). The record is from RNAcentral. Lineage: Eukaryota; Metazoa; Chordata; Mammalia; Rodentia; Chinchillidae.